UCUGGUGAUGAUGGCGAAGAGGUCACACCCGUUCCCAUACCGAACACGGAAGUUAAGCUCUUCAGCGCCGAUGGUAGUUGGGGGCUUCCCCCUGCGAGAGUAGGACGUUGCCAGGC
RNAcentral lists this ribosomal RNA (116 nucleotides) under Ureibacillus thermophilus. Lineage: Bacteria; Bacillati; Bacillota; Bacilli; Caryophanales; Caryophanaceae. The record is from RNAcentral.